AGCUACAGCCUGGAGGUUGGGGGAAAUGGUAGGAAACUCAUUUGGGAAGGGACCCCACGAAGCAUUAGAGAUAGCCACAGGAAGGUUAGAGAUAGCAAUGAUGGCCUCGUUAUACAAAGAAACAUGGCGCUGUUCUUCUCUGGAGGCGAUAGGAAAGAGUUAAAGCUUCGAGUGACGGGGCGCAUAUGGAAAGAGCAGCAGAACCCAGAAGGUGGGGCAUGCAUACCCAAUCUCUGCAGUUAGGGUGGUUUGCGCUUUAUCUGUCUCUCUCUCUCUAUCUCUCUUUUGUAAUAUUAGCAUAUUCAGAUAUGUUGAGAAUCCAUAUGUAUGAAUUCUGGAGGCAUGAGCUUUAUAAUAAAUUGCCAAUAAACUAUCCAACG
Molecule: unclassified non-coding RNA, 380 nt
Filed under: Hevea brasiliensis (rubber tree)
Lineage: Eukaryota; Viridiplantae; Streptophyta; Magnoliopsida; Malpighiales; Euphorbiaceae
Source: RNAcentral